CACGUAGUUAGCCGGAGCUUAUUCCUCAGGUACCGUCAAAUUCCUCUUUCUUCCCUGAUAAAAGAACUUUACAUUACGAAUAACUUCUUCGUUCACGCGGCGUUGCUCGGUCAGGGUUCCCCCCCAUUGCCGAAAAUUCCCUACUGCUGCCUCCCGUAGGAGUAUGGACCGUUCUCAGUUCCAUUGUGGCCGUUCAACCUCUCAGUCCGGCUACGCAUCAUCGCCUUGGUAGGCCCUUACCCCACCAACUAGCUAAUGCGCCACAGGCCCCUCCUUAAGCAGAUCUCUCUUUUAAAUAUAAAAGAUUCUUCCUCUAUAUCCUAUCCAGUUUUAUCCAUCGUUUCCAAUGGCUAUCCUCGUCUUAAGGGUAGGUUACCUAUGUAUUACUCACCCGUUCGCCACUAAAGUACCCGAAGGUACUUCCGUUCGACUUGCAUGUAUUAGGCACGCCGCCAGCCUUAAUCCUGAGCCGAGGAUCGAAAACUCU
This 487-nucleotide ribosomal RNA is filed under the name uncultured Anaeroplasma sp. RNAcentral describes it as "partial 16S ribosomal RNA". The record is from RNAcentral. Lineage: Bacteria; Bacillati; Mycoplasmatota; Mollicutes; Anaeroplasmatales; Anaeroplasmataceae.